CAGGACCCAAAAAUUACAUGCUAAAUUCCACAGUAGGAAGAAUGCCUAAUUAGUUCUCUGUGUCUACAAGAUUUCAAAUAAAGGAAUUUUACUUAAGUGAUUCUAAGACAUUCUUCUUAUAUUGAAUAAUAUUCCAUUUGGUAGCAACCUCUUUCUGGAGAUAAUUGGCCAAUAUGUGAUUACUUACGACACAUGCUUAAUUGAGUAUUCCAGUAUCUUUUUAGUUAAGAGUCGUUGAUAAACAAUUAAGUGAUAAUUCCAAGUUAAUUUUUACAUAUUUGAAUUCUAUUCAAAGAACCAUCUCAAAAAAGUUCAAGAAAUGUAUUCAGUACUGUUACACUCUAGUUGUUACAAGCUCAUAAGUUUUUCUAAGGAUUAUGGUUGAGAAGGGGUAGAGAAAUAAAUACCAAUAGUAUGAGAGAAAUGCUAGACAGUCUUAUCUACGCAAUUGACUUCACCCUGACAGGUGAAGUCAGGCUUUUUUACUUGUAUUCACAAGUAUAAAGCCUGGCCUCUCUGCACAUAAGCACAUAUUUGUGUUUAUUCUUAUAUAUAUCAUAUAUAUGAGUUCUCCUUCCACUCUGGAAUCACUCUCUUAUUCUUCAAACCUUACCUCUUACCCCUAAAGAGUAUGGAAUGAAUGAAGAAAUCAGGCUAUUACAACAUUAUAAGGUUGUGCUAGAAACACCUUAAGGAGUCAUGACCUGUUUGUUAGAAAUUAAUCACUACCUACCUGUGUGCAGUAGGUAGUGACUAAUUUCUAAAUCUAAAACCAGGUACAAAAGGAAAACCCGCGGCUCAGAGAUAAUGCUGGAUGUUUCAGAACCCAAUUAAAACACUUACAAAAUGGGAAGCUAUUAUGAACAUUACACUUUAGAAUUCUGUUAAAAGACCUUCAGUUUUCCAACGCCCAGGAAAAUCAUAAUAUUUCAAGAGAAAAAACCUUAGACAAUUACCACCUCUAAUAAAAACUCAC
Molecule: long non-coding RNA, 976 nt
Filed under: Marmota monax (woodchuck)
Lineage: Eukaryota; Metazoa; Chordata; Mammalia; Rodentia; Sciuridae
Source: RNAcentral